ACACUAGUUAUCUAUUUUAUUUGUCCAUUUGCAAUAUUGAUAAUUUUAGGAACAUUUGUGUUGGAUAAAAAGCGAGUUACAUCAGUUACUAACUCAACAUGCAGAUGCAGUAUAUCACAGAUAAAUCACAGAGGUUACUUGACUCUUGUCUGGAUGUUACAGGAACAGAUUAUGUUUAUCUGCUGUAGAGUGACUGAUGAAGGAAUGCUGCCAUCAAAGGAUUUGUGUAGUGGUGCUCAUGGAGAGCAGCACACGAUUGUUUGGAGCAGACACAGCAGCAGUCAGAUUGUCCCGCAUGUGUUC
Cyprinus carpio (common carp) is the source of this 303-nucleotide long non-coding RNA. The record is from Ensembl. Lineage: Eukaryota; Metazoa; Chordata; Actinopteri; Cypriniformes; Cyprinidae.